AUGUCGCUCAAAGGCUAUUAUGAAGCCUCGUUGUGUCCGCCGGCCGAGGAUGAUGUGUUUGCGGCGGCGGCGGCUGCGGCAAAGUGGGACUGGGGGGAAGCCCUCCUCGAUCGCGCGGCUUACAUGGUGGAUAAGAAAAACCAUACUUCCGCCCGCUGUCGAUUCAGGAGGGACGUCCUGGACGAGAGGGAGGUGGAAAUGCGGGUCACGUUGUGCCUCGCCCCGCCGCCUCUCGUCUCCUAUUUCUGCUGCCACGCCUACUACACCGACGACAAAGGAGAAGACACCCGUUUGUUCAUCAGGGAGCCGUCCAUGUUUUCCAUGGAGGGUGACCUUGCACUUAUCACCCUCUGCCACGGGAAAUUCCACCCCUCUGCCAUCGACGAGAACAAGGGUUACUAUGAAUACUUUGUGUACCAAGCAGGGAAGGAGGAACUCACCCGGCUCCCGCACCCCGACCCCUGGAUGUUGCCAAAUGAGGGAUCCCACGGCUUCAAUUCCACUUCAAUUGCUGUCGUGCCUUGCAGCAGCAAAAUUUCCACCCGAUGA
This 549-nucleotide ribosomal RNA is filed under the name Triticum aestivum (bread wheat). RNAcentral describes it as "partial small subunit ribosomal RNA". The record is from RNAcentral. Lineage: Eukaryota; Viridiplantae; Streptophyta; Magnoliopsida; Poales; Poaceae.